This 585-nucleotide ribosomal RNA is filed under the name Trichoderma asperellum. RNAcentral describes it as "eukaryotic LSU rRNA". The stretch from base 189 to 342 matches the Rfam family "5.8S ribosomal RNA". The record is from RNAcentral. Lineage: Eukaryota; Fungi; Ascomycota; Sordariomycetes; Hypocreales; Hypocreaceae.
GUUCCGCAACAUAUAGCACUCCAACCCAAUGUGAACGUUACCAAACUGUUGCCUCGGCGGGGUCACGCCCCGGGUGCGUCGCAGCCCCGGAACCAGGCGCCCGCCGGAGGAACCAACCAAACUCUUUCUGUAGUCCCCUCGCGGACGUAUUUCUUUACAGCUCUGAGCAAAAAUUCAAAAUGAAUCAAAACUUUCAACAACGGAUCUCUUGGUUCUGGCAUCGAUGAAGAACGCAGCGAAAUGCGAUAAGUAAUGUGAAUUGCAGAAUUCAGUGAAUCAUCGAAUCUUUGAACGCACAUUGCGCCCGCCAGUAUUCUGGCGGGCAUGCCUGUCCGAGCGUCAUUUCAACCCUCGAACCCCUCCGGGGGAUCGGCGUUGGGGAUCGGGACCCCUCACACGGGCGCCGGCCCCUAAAUACAGUGGCGGUCUCGCCGCAGCCUCUCCUGCGCAGUAGUUUGCACAACUCGCACCGGGAGCGCGGCGCGUCCACGUCCGUAAAACACCCAACUUUCUGAAAUGUUUGACCUCCGGAUCAGGUAGGAAUACCCGCUGAAACUUAAGCAUAUCAAUAAGGCGGGAAGGAAA